Molecule: ribosomal RNA, 303 nt
Filed under: Apomachaerota reticulata
Lineage: Eukaryota; Metazoa; Arthropoda; Insecta; Hemiptera; Machaerotidae
Description: mitochondrial SSU rRNA
Source: RNAcentral
UUAUGAUCCUUAAAGUUAAAGAAUUUGGCGGUAAUUAAGUCUUUUUAGAGGAACCUGUUCUUUUAUUGAUAAUCCACGAUUGAUUUUACUUUAUUUUGAUUUGUAUAUCUCUGUCAAUGAAUGUAUUAUAAGAUUAAUUUUCUUUAUUUUUUGGGAAUUGAUGUUAGGUCAAGGUGCAGUUUAUAAUAAAGUAGAAAUGGGUUACAAUGAUUUAUUUUGAAUAAUUUUAUGAAAUUAAAAUUUGAAAUUGGAUUUAAAAGUAAUAUUUAAUAAAUAUUAAUAUUGAUUUUAGCUCUUAAUUAU